UCUCUCUUUUUUGGUCUCCUGAACCUCCUUAUCUUGCUUUGUUUCCGUGUUUGCCUUGUACUGUACUGUAUUUUUUUAAUAAUAGUUUUUACUGUAGGGGUGUAAACCCCUCCAGUUUCUCUAAAAAAAAAUCACUAGAAUAUUUCGACACAUGGUCUUCUCUCAGCAGGGUCUGCCAAUGCAGUAGCCACCAAACUUCAUCAGUAGGAAGAACAGUGACAAAGCGUGACGCCCGAUCCUUCUGAAAGUAACACCAGCC
Molecule: long non-coding RNA, 259 nt
Filed under: Sorghum bicolor (sorghum)
Lineage: Eukaryota; Viridiplantae; Streptophyta; Magnoliopsida; Poales; Poaceae
Description: long non-coding RNA (SBIC_LNC001798)
Source: RNAcentral